UGGCUCAGGAUGAACGCUAGUGACAGGCUUAACACAUGCAAGUCGAGGGGCAGCGGGGAGAGAAGCUUGCUUUUCUCCGCCGGCGACCGGCGCACGGGUGAGUAACACGUAUGCAACCUGCCCGUAGCAGGGGGAUAAGCGGAAGAAAUUCCGUCUAAUACCGCGUAAUAUCCUUGGGAGACAUCUCCCGAGGAUCAAAGGAAGUAAUUCCGGCUACGGAUGGGCAUGCGGCGCAUUAGCUAGUCGGCGGGGUAACGGCCCACCGAGGCGACGAUGCGUAGGGGUUCUGAGAGGAAGGUCCCCCACACUGGUACUGAGACACGGACCAGACUCCUACGGGAGGCAGCAGUGAGGAAUAUUGGUCAAUGGGCUGAGGCCUGAACCAGCCAAGUCGCGUGAGGGAAGACGGUCCUAUGGAUUGUAAACCUCUUUUGCCGGGGAGCAAUAGAGCUACGAGUAGCAUAGUGAGAGUACCCGGAGAAAAAGCAUCGGCUAACUCCGUGCCAGCAGCCGCGGUAAUACGGAGGAUGCGAGCGUUAUCCGGAUUUAUUGGGUUUAAAGGGUGCGUAGGCCGACUGUCAAGUCAGUGGUAAAAUUGAGAGGCUCAACCUCUUCGAGCCAUUGAAACUGGCGGUCUAGAGUGGGCGAGAAGUAUGCGGAAUGCGAGGUGUAGCGGUGAAAUGCAUAGAUAUCACGCAGAACUCCGAUUGCGAAGGCAGCAUACCGGCGCCCAACUGACGCUGAGGCACGAAAGCGUGGGUAUCGAACAGGAUUAGAUACCCUGGUAGUCCACGCAGUAAACGAUGAAUACUAAUUGUCCGGCACGAAAGAGUGCUGGGUGAUACAGCGAAAGCGUUAAGUAUUCCACCUGGGGAGUACGCCGGCAACGGUGAAACUCAAAGGAAUUGACGGGGGCCCGCACAAGCGGAGGAACAUGUGGUUUAAUUCGAUGAUACGCGAGGAACCUUACCCGGGCUCAAACGCAGUCGGACGGCGGAUGAAAGUUCGCUUUCCUUUGGGACUGACUGCGAGGUGCUGCAUGGUUGUCGUCAGCUCGUGCCGUGAGGUGUCGGCUUAAGUGCCAUAACGAGCGCAACCCCCAUCGACAGUUGCUAACAGGUGAAGCUGAGGACUCUGUCGAGACUGCCGGCGCAAGCUGAGAGGAAGGCGGGGAUGACGUCAAAUCAGCACGGCCCUUACGUCCGGGGCGACACACGUGUUACAAUGGCAGGUACAGCGGGAAGCCAUAUGGCGACAUAGAGCAAAACCCGA
RNAcentral lists this ribosomal RNA (1272 nucleotides) under uncultured bacterium. RNAcentral describes it as "bacterial SSU rRNA". It matches the Rfam family "Bacterial small subunit ribosomal RNA", at positions 20 to 1277 of the family's 1533-position model. The record is from RNAcentral.